UACGGAGGAUGCGAGCGUUAUCCGGAUUUAUUGGGUUUAAAGGGUGCGUAGGCGGACUGUCAAGUCAGCGGUGAAAUCCCGGAGCUCAACUCCGGCGAGCCGUUGAAACUGGCGGACUUGAGACAGUGAGAGGUCAGCGGAAUGCGCGGUGUAGCGGUGAAAUGCAUAGAUAUCGCGCAGAACUCCGAUUGCGAAGGCAGCUGACCGGUACUGAUCUGACGCUGAGGCACGAAAGCGUGGGUAUCGAACAG
RNAcentral lists this ribosomal RNA (251 nucleotides) under uncultured bacterium. RNAcentral's name for it is "partial 16S ribosomal RNA". It matches the Rfam family "Bacterial small subunit ribosomal RNA", at positions 524 to 775 of the family's 1533-position model. The record is from RNAcentral.